This 2900-nucleotide ribosomal RNA is filed under the name Escherichia coli DEC1A. RNAcentral's name for it is "bacterial LSU rRNA". It matches the Rfam family "Bacterial large subunit ribosomal RNA". Lineage: Bacteria; Pseudomonadati; Pseudomonadota; Gammaproteobacteria; Enterobacterales; Enterobacteriaceae. The record is from RNAcentral.
UUAAGCGACUAAGCGUACACGGUGGAUGCCCUGGCAGUCAGAGGCGAUGAAGGACGUGCUAAUCUGCGAUAAGCGUCGGUGAGGUGAUAUGAACCGUUAUAACCGGCGAUUUCCGAAUGGGGAAACCCAGUGUGUUUCGACACACUAUCAUUAACUGAAUCCAUAGGUUAAUGAGGCGAACCGGGGGAACUGAAACAUCUAAGUACCCCGAGGAAAAGAAAUCAACCGAGAUUCCCCAGUAGCGGCGAGCGAACGGGGAGGAGCCCAGAGCCUGAAUCAGUGUGUGUGUUAGUGGAAGCGUCUGGAAAGGCGCGCGAUACAGGGUGACAGCCCCGUACACAAAAAUGCACAUACUGUGAGCUCGAUGAGUAGGGCGGGACACGUGGUAUCCUGUCUGAAUAUGGGGGGACCAUCCUCCAAGGCUAAAUACUCCUGACUGACCGAUAGUGAACCAGUACCGUGAGGGAAAGGCGAAAAGAACCCCGGCGAGGGGAGUGAAAAAGAACCUGAAACCGUGUACGUACAAGCAGUGGGAGCCUCUUAAUGGGGUGACUGCGUACCUUUUGUAUAAUGGGUCAGCGACUUAUAUUCUGUAGCAAGGUUAACCGAAUAGGGGAGCCGAAGGGAAACCGAGUCUUAACUGGGCGUUAAGUUGCAGGGUAUAGACCCGAAACCCGGUGAUCUAGCCAUGGGCAGGUUGAAGGUUGGGUAACACUAACUGGAGGACCGAACCGACUAAUGUUGAAAAAUUAGCGGAUGACUUGUGGCUGGGGGUGAAAGGCCAAUCAAACCGGGAGAUAGCUGGUUCUCCCCGAAAGCUAUUUAGGUAGCGCCUCGUGAAUUCAUCUCCGGGGGUAGAGCACUGUUUCGGCAAGGGGGUCAUCCCGACUUACCAACCCGAUGCAAACUGCGAAUACCGGAGAAUGUUAUCACGGGAGACACACGGCGGGUGCUAACGUCCGUCGUGAAGAGGGAAACAACCCAGACCGCCAGCUAAGGUCCCAAAGUCAUGGUUAAGUGGGAAACGAUGUGGGAAGGCCCAGACAGCCAGGAUGUUGGCUUAGAAGCAGCCAUCAUUUAAAGAAAGCGUAAUAGCUCACUGGUCGAGUCGGCCUGCGCGGAAGAUGUAACGGGGCUAAACCAUGCACCGAAGCUGCGGCAGCGACACUAUGUGUUGUUGGGUAGGGGAGCGUUCUGUAAGCCUGUGAAGGUGGCCUGUGAGGGUUGCUGGAGGUAUCAGAAGUGCGAAUGCUGACAUAAGUAACGAUAAAGCGGGUGAAAAGCCCGCUCGCCGGAAGACCAAGGGUUCCUGUCCAACGUUAAUCGGGGCAGGGUGAGUCGACCCCUAAGGCGAGGCCGAAAGGCGUAGUCGAUGGGAAACAGGUUAAUAUUCCUGUACUUGGUGUUACUGCGAAGGGGGGACGAGAAGGCUAUGUUGGCCGGGCGACGGUUGUCCCGGUUUAAGCGUGUAGGCUGGUUUUCCAGGCAAAUCCGGAAAAUCAAGGCUGAGGCGUGAUGACGAGGCACUACGGUGCUGAAGCGACAAAUGCCCUGCUUCCAGGAAAAGCCUCUAAGCAUCAGGUAACAUCAAAUCGUACCCCAAACCGACACAGGUGGUCAGGUAGAGAAUACCAAGGCGCUUGAGAGAACUCGGGUGAAGGAACUAGGCAAAAUGGUGCCGUAACUUCGGGAGAAGGCACGCUGAUAUGUAGGUGAAGCGACUUGCUCGUGGAGCUGAAAUCAGUCGAAGAUACCAGCUGGCUGCAACUGUUUAUUAAAAACACAGCACUGUGCAAACACGAAAGUGGACGUAUACGGUGUGACGCCUGCCCGGUGCCGGAAGGUUAAUUGAUGGGGUUAGCGGUAACGCGAAGCUCUUGAUCGAAGCCCCGGUAAACGGCGGCCGUAACUAUAACGGUCCUAAGGUAGCGAAAUUCCUUGUCGGGUAAGUUCCGACCUGCACGAAUGGCGUAAUGAUGGCCAGGCUGUCUCCACCCGAGACUCAGUGAAAUUGAACUCGCUGUGAAGAUGCAGUGUACCCGCGGCAAGACGGAAAGACCCCGUGAACCUUUACUAUAGCUUGACACUGAACAUUGAGCCUUGAUGUGUAGGAUAGGUGGGAGGCUUUGAAGUGUGGACGCCAGUCUGCAUGGAGCCGGCCUUGAAAUACCACCCUUUAAUGUUUGAUGUUCUAACGUGGGCCCCUUACCGGGGUUGCGGACAGUGUCUGGUGGGUAGUUUGACUGGGGCGGUCUCCUCCUAAAGAGUAACGGAGGAGCACGAAGGUUGGCUAAUCCUGGUCGGACAUCAGGAGGUUAGUGCAAUGGCAUAAGCCAGCUUGACUGCGAGCGUGACGGCGCGAGCAGGUGCGAAAGCAGGUCAUAGUGAUCCGGUGGUUCUGAAUGGAAGGGCCAUCGCUCAACGGAUAAAAGGUACUCCGGGGAUAACAGGCUGAUACCGCCCAAGAGUUCAUAUCGACGGCGGUGUUUGGCACCUCGAUGUCGGCUCAUCACAUCCUGGGGCUGAAGUAGGUCCCAAGGGUAUGGCUGUUCGCCAUUUAAAGUGGUACGCGAGCUGGGUUUAGAACGUCGUGAGACAGUUCGGUCCCUAUCUGCCGUGGGCGCUGGAGAACUGAGGGGGGCUGCUCCUAGUACGAGAGGACCGGAGUGGACGCAUCACUGGUGUUCGGGUUGUCAUGCCAAUGGCACUGCCCGGUAGCUAAAUGCGGAAGAGAUAAGUGCUGAAAGCAUCUAAGCACGAAACUUGCCCCGAGAUGAGUUCUCCCUGACCCUUUAAGGGUCCUGAAGGAACGUUGAAGACGACGACGUUGAUAGGCCGGGUGUGUAAGCGCAGCGAUGCGUUGAGCUAACCGGUACUAAUGAACCGUGAGGCUUAACCUU